AAGGCACCACAGGACUUUGCUUUGUUUGAUCACCCUUGGCAAGUAUCCCAUGAUCGUACCAUUCUCUAACCUAACAGAAUCUUGCACCAUGUAUAAAGUCACUUACUACCUAAUGUAGCAUCUACAACCUCACAGAGGAAGGCUUGAAGGCAGUAACAGGACAGCUGCUGGUGGGACAGAGCAGAUUGUCUCCACUAUCACCUCAUUACCUCUGGAACACCCUUUUGAAGGAGUGACCCAGGGUGGUGUAAUAUUCAAACUGGAAACUUAUAAUAAAAUGAAUGACAUGAAAAUGUGCCUGAUACUUGAGUAAAUGUGAUGACACUGCAUGGCACCAUCUCCUAUCACUGGGUAUCAGGACCCCACCCUGUGUGUUAACAGCUUAAAAUACCCAUGGUUUAUCUGGGCUCUCCUCUCCCCUUAAAUGCUAGCAGAGGCUCUCGGCGCCCUUCUGCUGCAACCAGGUGUGCCUUUUCCCCUUUGAUUGACACAAGAGCUGUGGGAGAUAUAAAAGGUCAUGGAUAGCACAAGGCUGGCUAGUCCUCCUUCCUGCCUCAGUAAGUGGGUGCUCAAGGUUUGGUGGCUGGCUGAGAGACCCAUAGAAGCUUUUAGAAUGUUCAUCUCCCCCAAAUUUUACAGAGGGCUGGGCCAGCUUGAAGCCUACAUUGGUGUGGAGGAAGGAGUGGCCUUCAAAAUGGACAACCACCAAUUCUGGGACACAAUGACUGCUGGCUAUCAAUGGACCAUAAUGGGUGUAUCUGUAAAGAGAGACUCAAGCAAGUUUUGGGUAGUCCCUUUACCUUCAAGAAAAGUGAUGCUGAGAAACAGGCGUGGUAUGAACCUGGCUCCAGUGGAGAUAAGAACAGACCCCAGAACCUUUCCUGUUGUACCAGUCCCAUAUUCAGAAGAUCCGAAUCUAAAGUUUAGGGUCUACUACAAAGGUAAUAAGGUGGCUUUCCAGGCCCAUAAUGGUCUUUUCCUGGGCCGAGUAUGUAAAGAUUUUUGUAGACGGAUCAAUGCAUUGGAAGCAUCCAUGUUCUUCCCAGAUGACACCUGUUUUUUCCAGCCCGUGAUUGGGGACGUCCUUCUUCCUACCUUUAAAAUACUGAAUGUGAUUCCAAGGGGAAUUUCUCAGUUGGACUACUCCUCCCAUCUCAUUGAGACACGUGUUUUUAUCAACAGGGGAGAGGAACCCGUAGAACACACUUUCAACAUGACUUAUAGUGCCCGUAGUAUUGACAAAGUUUUCUGGAACAAUUUGUGGGGGCUUGGUUUGCCUUCAUUAUGUGCUUUCAAAGUUGACAGUGCAAGUCCAUCUGUGAUGUACAAUGUGAACAAUGACCACAUUGUCCCUCUUGUGAGGACAAUUUCUGAAGAGGUCCCAGAACAAGUGAUGGUACCCCCAAAAUCUGAAGUCAAAGCCUGCCUUUAUGCUGACAGGCAACGUUAUGCUGCUCUGCCUUUCAUAGCCACCAUCCAAAAAGUGAAACCUGAUGGCACCAUAGAGAUUUUCAGGGAAGCUGGGGCCUGGAAGGGGCUUGCCUAUCGUAACCUCAGAGUGGAGCACAGUGUUGUAAAGCUUUGAGCUGUAGAUGGCUAUGUGAUGCUCAUGGAACUAAUGGCCUUGUAAGGGGGACUGUGUGCCAGAUCAUAAACAGCCUACCCCCGAGGUUGUGGGGGUUUCUCCAUAAUCUCUGUCUGUUCCUUGUAGGACUGUAAUGCUUCGGAGACCAGUUUCUUCCUGACCAGGGCAGGUGAAGGCUUUGCCCUGGGGCAUCGUAGCAGUUCUUUUAAAAAAAAUUACAGGUGCCUGAAAAAAAGACAAUGAUGGCUACCUUUUUAUAGCAAGAGGGCGAGAAGCCUCACCUUGCAGCACUGUGUAGAGAACAUAAAUAAAAUUGUAAUGCCUUGUUUUUUAAAAAAAACA
Pogona vitticeps (central bearded dragon) is the source of this 1927-nucleotide long non-coding RNA. Ensembl lists it as uncharacterized. The record is from Ensembl. Lineage: Eukaryota; Metazoa; Chordata; Lepidosauria; Squamata; Agamidae.